AUCCAGCUGAUGUGUCUCAAAUAGAACGAGACACGUGUCCUGGAU
Molecule: non-coding RNA, 45 nt
Organism: Schistosoma mattheei
Lineage: Eukaryota; Metazoa; Platyhelminthes; Trematoda; Strigeidida; Schistosomatidae
Source: Rfam